AAAAAUAAAUCAAUAUUACUGACUCACAGCAACUCUAAUGUAACAACAGUUGUUGUGCCUCGCCGUUUCCCGUCUAUACUUUGCUGAAAACGCCAAGCUGCAUGGUCCCGACUGACUGCGCCAAAACAAACGUUAAAAUAUGCGCAACCACUAAAAACCUCCUUCUUGUUACUUUUUGUUUCAGAUCAAUUAUGAUCUUAAAUAAAUAAAAUAAAAAAAAAAUCAACCAGAGUACGACUUCCUCUUUGGUUCACUCAAAUUUGGCAAUCCAAGUAACGUUAAUAUCGAGUUACGAAACACUGCAGGGAUCUGGAGUCAAUACUGUUGACUUUUUACCCUCAUUGAUUUGAUGCCCAAUCCUAUAAAAUGUGCAACUUUAUAACAAAACAAAAACACAGCACUUAAAAAUAUUGAGCUUUUAGUUCUAGAACGUCCGAGCUCACUAAUGUUAGAGCUACUAGUUAACGGUGGCUAACCACUUAAGCGGAUGUAAUACACUUUAGAGCGAUAAAAGCAACCGUUUCUGAAUUAUAUGCUUGGCAAGUUUCGUUAGGCUGGUACACGGCAUGGAUGAGCUUUUUGUCUCGAACGGCGAGCCAUUGACGAAGCGACGAGCCGCCAUUACGGACCAGCGCGGAGCAGACAAGAGAGACGAGUACAAAAAGUACCGCUCAGCCAGUUGGAUAAUUUACCUUCUCAAUGAAGUGGGACUGUUCUUGUUCACAGCGUGAAGCUCGGGCAAUUGGUGUAAAGACUUUUAUUUCGGUAGGAACCUGUAAAUUUACUUAGCAGUAACGGCUAACAGCUAAAAACACGAAGAUGUCAGCAAAAAAAAAAAAAUAGCUGACCACUUUUCUCCCCCCCCCUCAAAGGAAAUGGGCGGGGCUUAUGAGUACAGAAGGAUUACGUAAUUAUUCCUUUGAGCUUUGUGAUUGGAGGAAAAAGUUUGAGCGUGCCGUGCCAUAAAGUUCGAGUUUGCAGGAGUUGUACAAUAAAACAGUAUUAACAGUAGAAUAAAAUAUUAUUGCAUAUUGUUAUUCUGUACUUGUAGUUGUAAAAAAAACAUAUGGGGAAAUUUUCUAUUCAAAGUAUGUAAGGUUUAAACAAAUAUACUUGCACUUGUGUAAUAAUACUACUGUUGUGCAAUAAUUCAAUGGAUUAUGAUCUUAUUACUUAAAUCCUGCUCUCCACUAAACCUGUAUUAAGUCAGAGAUAUUAAUCUGUACUUUAAUAGCUUUUUUUUUUUUUUUUUUUACAUGCCUCCAAAAUUGUAGUGGGGAAGUAGAGUUCACUCAAAUUAUCAUCUCAAAAUAAAAGUAAUAUAAUACCGACAUGUUUCUUCAGUCUUUCCUUAUUCUUAGAUAUUACCAUCUAUUUUAAAGUGAAGCUUUUGCCACUUUUUUAAUGGUCAGUCAAGUCUUGACUGAAUUUUGAACAUGAUAUUUUAUGGGGUACAACAUCUAUUGUUAUAACUUUUUGCAGCUUGAUUUUCUGGUAUUUUGAAAUCUUUUAUUAAAUGCAUAGUUUGUUUUUCUUGGAUUUGCAAUUUUUUGCAUACUCUGCAUCUGAAAGUACAUUUUUUACUGGAGCGCACAUGUUGUUUUAUGCAUCAUGUAGAUUAUGAAUAAAUUAGGAUAAAAUUUGAAGUUCUUGUCCCUAUUUUACAAGGAACUGUAUAGGUUUCCAACAUGGUAUGUGGUUUCAAAUUCUUUUUAUAAUCACUGUGCAGAAAUAUGGAAAAUCUGAACAUAUAAUACAACACAACAGAUUAACAUUAAAAGAGGCUAUUUUCAAAUAAUGUAAAGUCUUAACAUAUCAGUACCUGUCAUUCUAUAUGCACUACUAUGAGUACAGAAAUAUUGAGGCACAGUGUAUGAUUAAAUGUUUCGGUUUAUUCUGAUUUACUUAUACAUUAAGUAUAAAACAAAGUACAACAAACCAUAAUGGUAGAAAGCAAAAUGGUAAAGGGUGUAUCACUUAAUAUUUAACAUAUUGAGUUAAAACACCUCCAUAGACAGUGGAUUACACCCUCUUGAAGCAAAUGUAGAUUUCACACAGUAAUUAAUAUACAACAUAUUUAGAGUGCAUACACAAAAUAUUGACAACUCAGUAGAGAUCAAUGCAAUCUUAAGUACACUACUGGGUAGAAUUGAUCAGUUUUUCUUAGUCUUUAAAAAAUUAGCAUCAUGUUUAUUUUUCCAUACUGUGCAAGCUUUGAAAUUAAAUUGCACCAUCAUUAGGAUUGCAUAGUGUAAGAAAUCUGAAGUUGGAAAAAAAGAGUAAGAACCAGAAGAAGCCCUUGUAGACUUCCCAGCAAAGCAGGUAGAUGGAUUCUGGUUGUCGCUUCAGGUCUCUGAUAAUUUGCAGAGACUCAUUCUUGUCAAAUAUCCAGUUUAUGGAUCCCGCUCUUUCAUACUUGUUGGAUCACCAGGUCCAGUCCUGUUUUACCAGUUUUACUCCCUGAAGUUACAGUUUCAUACCUGUUUAUCUCUUCUACUAUGUCAAAAAUAAGAUGUACCCCGAGCCAGUCCCUUCGCGGCCGAGUCAUGCCAACAUUCUGCUGCAGCUAUGGGUUAAAGCUAAGAUGAAGUACUGUUGGACCCUAUGUUGUUAAAAUAGGGCACUGUUUUAUGUGAAGCAGGAUGUGGCAAAAACUAUUAAACAGUGCAAAGUGCAUUAUUUUGAUGUUUGUGAUUACUGUUGAGGUUUGCAAAUCUCUCCAAAAUUGGGCUUGACUUGUUUAAAUGGUCAAAUGGGGCAACGGCAAAGCCAGAAAAAAUUAAGAAAAAUUCUAGGCUGAAACAAAGGUUUCAUCACUGAAACAUUGUGCAAGUCAUUAUAUAGUCUUUAAAUGAUAAAGCACAAGGAAAGCACGUGAUUGCUGGUCAAAUGUUUACAUACUUAUCUUGUAUAUAAAUUUUUGAAAUAAUUCGAUCUCAGCUGUUCUCUUUUUGGGGUUACAUGAUUAUACGAAACAAAUGCACAAGUUUGCAUUUUUAUAGAUUUUUCUUGUAAGUUUGUAAAGGACACCAGAUCAAAUACUGGGGCUGUAUGAGUAUAUAUAAGCUUAUCUUAUUACUUUGAUCCUGUGUAGUUAAGGGAAAGUUCACGCUCAGUUCUGGCUUAUUAAGUCAUUAAAGAUCUUUGUGGUACAAUCACUUAACAAACCCCAAAUUAACAUGAUGCUCACACUCACCAUGAGUGGAUGUAAACUUCUGAA
This is a long non-coding RNA of Xiphophorus maculatus (southern platyfish), 3220 nucleotides long. RefSeq lists it as uncharacterized. The transcript has 2 exons. The record is from RefSeq and is a predicted model, not a curated record. NCBI's taxonomy places the organism in Eukaryota, Metazoa, Chordata, Actinopteri, Cyprinodontiformes, Poeciliidae.